GAUGAACGCUGGCGGCGUGCCUAAUACAUGCAAGUCGAGCGAACGGACGAGAAGCUUGCUUCUCUGAUGUUAGCGGCGGACGGGUGAGUAACACGUGGAUAACCUACCUAUAAGACUGGGAUAACUUCGGGAAACCGGAGCUAAUACCGGAUAAUAUUUUGAACCGCAUGGUUAAAAAGUGAAAGACGGUCUUGCUGUCACUUAUAGAUGGAUCCGCGCUGCAUUAGCUAGUUGGUAAGGUAACGGCUUACCAAGGCAACGAUGCAUAGCCGACCUGAGAGGGUGAUCGGCCACACUGGAACUGAGACACGGUCCAGACUCCUACGGGAGGCAGCAGUAGGGAAUCGUCCGCAAUGGGCGAAAGCCUGACGGAGCAACGCCGCGUGAGUGAUGAAGGUCUUCGGAUCGUAAAACUCUGUUAUUAGGGAAGAACAUAUGUGUAAGUAACUGUGCACAUCUUGACGGUACCUAAUCAGAAAGCCACGGCUAACUACGUG
This 497-nucleotide ribosomal RNA is filed under the name uncultured bacterium. RNAcentral describes it as "partial 16S ribosomal RNA". It matches the Rfam family "Bacterial small subunit ribosomal RNA", at positions 28 to 507 of the family's 1533-position model. The record is from RNAcentral.